CAAUAGCGUAUAUUUAAGUUGUUGCAGUUAAAAAGCUCGUAGUUGGAUUUCGGAUGGGAUUUGCCGGUCCGUCGUUACGAUGUGCACUGGCCAGUCCUAUCUUGUUGUCGGGGACUAGCUCCUUGGAUUCACUUCCUGGGACUAGGAGCUGACGAGGUUACUUUGAGUAAGUUAGAGUGUUCAAAGCAAGCCUACGCUCUGAAUACAUUAGCAUGGAAUAACACGAUAGGACUCUGGCUUAUCUUGUUGGUCUGUGAGACCAGAGUAAUGAUUAAGAGGGACAGUCGGGGACAUUCGUAUUUCAUUGUCAGAGGUGAAAUUCUUGGAUUUAUGAAAGACGAACUUCUGCGAAAGCAUUUGUCAAGGAUGUUUUCAUUAA
RNAcentral lists this ribosomal RNA (379 nucleotides) under uncultured eukaryote. RNAcentral describes it as "partial 18S ribosomal RNA". It matches the Rfam family "Eukaryotic small subunit ribosomal RNA", at positions 592 to 976 of the family's 1831-position model. The record is from RNAcentral.